Molecule: long non-coding RNA, 1030 nt
Organism: Conger conger (European conger)
Lineage: Eukaryota; Metazoa; Chordata; Actinopteri; Anguilliformes; Congridae
Exons: 6
Source: RefSeq, a predicted model, not a curated record
CAGGCUGUGAUCACUGGAAAGGAGCCCUCCGAGUGGCUGAAGGGUUUCCAGACAAAGUCACCUCAAUGAGUCCCAGUGUACCUAGACAAUGAUGUCCAGCAGGACCGGUUCUACUACCUCGAGACUGUCCUGAACAGUACAUCUGCACUACCUUUUAUCCAGGAUCACUGUUCAUUCUAGAGGUGUUGUUCCCAGAGAUACAAAGAAUGACCACUCAAUGCCAACCUUUCAAAAUGUCAAGAAGAAUCCAUGUUGAAGCGAUGCUUCUUUGUCUAAUAGUGUGCCAGUGCAGGUUGUGUGAGGCGGUGGUAGAGAGAGGGGCCACCUUCAGAGUGAAAGUGGGAGACAGUAUCUCGUUUCCUGUCUCGCCUGAAUCCGACCACAUCUACACUGUUCACCGCUUUCUUAAAAGAUUUGCAAUAUUGAGAUGGCAUCAUCGAUCAUUAGUAGAUGUUAAAGAGCCAUAUAGGGGAAGGGUUAGCAUUAACAAUAAAUCAAUUUGGCUGCAUAAACUAAACCUAUCAGAUUCUGGUCCUUAUGAAGUUAGAACUGGCUUGAUAUCUGGCGGAUCUAUGCAACUGUACACAUACUUUCAAGUGCAGGUUUUUGAGCCCGUCUCUAAACCCAACAUCACAGCAGAGUGCCUGGGGAAUAAUGUCAGUCUGAGCUGCUUCAGUCAGGGGACGAAUGUGACUUACAGCUGGGAAACUCUGCCCCCCUGUGGUGAUGACAGCUGUGUGCGCCUGGGCCAAACUAUACACCCCCUCCCUCCCUCCACAACGUUCACAUGCACCGCCUAUAACCCUGUCAGCAAAGCCUCCUCUGUUUCUACACAUCUGGAAAAGUGCUCCACCCGAAGAUUACAAGGAGGAUGGAUUGCAGCCAUAUCAAUUUUCAUUGUCUUCGGAGUGCUACCAGUACUACUGCUGUACAUGAGGGAAAAGUGUCACAGGACACAGAGGGGCUUGAGCAUACAUUGGGCGAAAGGCAGGAAUAAACCCUGGACAGGUCGCCAGUCCACACUCUUACC